CCAAAGGGUGGUUUUUUGGGUUCAUGUUUGUCUUGUUAAAAUGGUUUUAAAGUGACUUUUGGAACCCCUAAGUACCCUAGGAUAUUAACCCUCUUUUAUGUUGUGAAAAUUUGAGUUUUAAUGAGUGAAAACAUUCAUGGAGCUCUUAUGAGUUUUCAUGUGUGUUCUUCAAUGUUCUUGAGUUUCUUACCAAGAACAAAAAGGUUUGGAAUUUUGAUUCAAAGUGUUUGGUGUUUUUCAUAAAGUUUUGGUUUAUUUUUUAUGGGUGAUGGAUUAUUGGUGAGGAUGAUAAAUGCUAUUAAUGUUUCACAAAACAUUUCUCUUACAACCCAUCUCAUUCACCUUUAUCCUCACCCACCUAUUUCACUUGCAUAUUGCACAUGCAUGCACCACUUGCACAAAAUCCCUUUCACACUCCUUUUCACUCUAAAAACCGGCCAACCCCAAGUGGGGGGUAAUUUUGGGCCUUUUGUGCAAUUACAUAAAGUUUUGAUACUUUUGUGUUUUUGUAUUUUGGCCCAAAAGUUUACGUUUUUACGUUAAGGCCCAAAAACUCUAAAGGACAAAUUGUUUUGCUCCUUUAAUAAUGUUUUUACAUUAUUAAAAUUUUGGGUUCUAGUUGUAAUUACAUGAAGUUGUGGACUCUUGUGUUUUUACAAAGUGACCCCAAAAGUUUUUGUUUAUUAAAUAAUGGCCCAAUUGUUGAGGUCAUUGUUUUUGGCCCAAAUAAGAUGAGAACAAAAUGGUUUUGUCUCUUUAAAUGAGAAUUGGAUUUUCAUUUUAUUUAGUUCCAUUUAAAUCAAUUCUAUGAAUCUGAAAACCAAUUGUUUAAGUUGCUUUCUUAGUUAAUGUGAUUGAUUAAGAAAAGGGUGAUUAUGAACCAAAGGCCUCGAUAAUUGAGCUAUGUGAUUGGCCGCUUUACAUUAUGAAUGUUUGGGUUUAGUAGUGUAGAAUUGAAUGUAAUUUGAUUAGUUCAAAUUUGUUGUAAAUGGACAUAAGUCCAUCAUUUGUGUUGUAAAAGGGCAUAAGCCCUUCUUAUUAUUUCAUGUAUUCCUUUUUUGUUUAAAUGUAUGCAAAUUGGAAUAGUUGGGUCCAACGCCCAAUAGGAAAUAACGGUUUAAUUAGAUUAAACGCGUAA
This 1138-nucleotide long non-coding RNA is filed under the name Malus domestica (apple). RNAcentral's name for it is "long non-coding RNA (MDOM_LNC000406)". Lineage: Eukaryota; Viridiplantae; Streptophyta; Magnoliopsida; Rosales; Rosaceae. The record is from RNAcentral.